GGAUAGAAGACUUUCUAAAAAGCAGAACUAUUUGACCUUGAGUACAGAUCAGUCUCUGGGAUUGAUGAACAGCGUCAAUCUCACAGAAGGCACAAUCUCACCCCUUAAUAAAGUCCCUCCUUUUCUUUUCACUUCCCCCACCCCCUUCCUGCCUGACGAAUUCCCUUAUUUGGUCAGAGAGAUUGUAGGAAAUUCUAUCUCGGGGAUCAACUGAUUAUAGAUGCUAGUAAAGUCAUGCCGAGUUGAUAGAUUUAUGUCCUACCAUCAUUCAGCAGAUGCUAAGAAGCAAUUCCAACAGUUUGCCACACAGACACUAACAUCUCAGUUUACUUCCACUUUACAAUCAGCCUUCAGUGUUGUUUAAUGGAAGCAGGAAAUGAAAUGGAUUUGUGUGUGAUGUAUGCAUAGAUGUCAUUCUGUAGAAGAUAUUCAAAGCUGAAUACUUGGAGAAUUUGUCAGGGCCGGCCGCUGAUCAACUUUUAUCUUGACUGAAUUCAUUUUUGGUGUCUGUUUUAUGUAAAGAUGUGGGCUCGAAUUUCACGGAAUUCGUAAUGAUUUUGUAUAAACACUAAGUAGAGUAUAAAGGGAACUUAUUUUUUUUUAAUGCUUCA
Long non-coding RNA from Spinacia oleracea (spinach), 611 nucleotides. RefSeq lists it as uncharacterized. The transcript is spliced from 2 exons. Lineage: Eukaryota; Viridiplantae; Streptophyta; Magnoliopsida; Caryophyllales; Amaranthaceae. The record is from RefSeq and is a predicted model, not a curated record.